RNAcentral lists this ribosomal RNA (510 nucleotides) under uncultured Glomus. RNAcentral describes it as "SSU rRNA". It matches the Rfam family "Eukaryotic small subunit ribosomal RNA", at positions 569 to 1081 of the family's 1831-position model. The record is from RNAcentral. Lineage: Eukaryota; Fungi; Glomeromycota; Glomeromycetes; Glomerales; Glomeraceae.
AGCAGCCGCGGUAAUUCCAGCUCCAAUAGCGUAUAUUAAAGUUGUUGCAGUUAAAAAGCUCGUAGUUGAAUUUCGGGAUCAGUACGCUGGUCGUGCCUUUGGUAUGUACUGGUGUCACUGAUUCCUCCCUUCUGAAGAACCGUUAUGCCAUUUAUUUGGUGUGGCGGGAAAUCAGGACUGUUACUUUGAAAAAAUUAGAGUGUUUAAAGCAGGCUCACGCUUGAAUACAUUAGCAUGGAAUAAUGAAAUAGGACGUUUGAUUCUAUUUUGUUGGUUUCUAGGAUCGACGUAAUGAUUAAUAGGGAUAGUUGGGGGCAUUAGUAUUCAAUCGUCAGAGGUGAAAUUCUUGGAUUUAUUGAAGACUAACUACUGCGAAAGCAUUUGCCAAGGAUGUUUUCAUUAAUCAAGAACGAAAGUUAGGGGAUCGAAGACGAUCAGAUACCGUCGUAGUCUUAACCAUAAACUAUGCCGACUAGGGAUCGGAUGAUGUUAAUUUUUAAUGACUCAUUC